AGUGAGCGCUGGCGGUAGGCCUAACACAUGCAAGUCGAACGGCAGCACAGUAAGAGCUUGCUCUUACGGGUGGCGAGUGGCGGACGGGUGAGGAAUACAUCGGAAUCUACUAUUUCGUGGGGGAUAACGUAGGGAAACUUACGCUAAUACCGCAUACGACCUACGGGUGAAAGCAGGGGAUCUUCGGACCUUGCGCGAUUGAAUGAGCCGAUGUCGGAUUAGCUAGUUGGCGGGGUAAAGGCCCACCAAGGCGACGAUCCGUAGCUGGUCUGAGAGGAUGAUCAGCCACACUGGAACUGAGACACGGUCCAGACUCCUACGGGAGGCAGCAGUGGGGAAUAUUGGACAAUGGGCGCAAGCCUGAUCCAGCCAUACCGCGUGGGUGAAGAAGGCCUUCGGGUUGUAAAGCCCUUUUGUUGGGAAAGAAAAGCAGCAGGUUAAUACCCCGCUGUUCUGACGGUACCCAAAGAAUAAGCACCGGCUAACUUCGUG
RNAcentral lists this ribosomal RNA (492 nucleotides) under uncultured bacterium. RNAcentral's name for it is "partial 16S ribosomal RNA". It matches the Rfam family "Bacterial small subunit ribosomal RNA", at positions 29 to 507 of the family's 1533-position model. The record is from RNAcentral.